GUUCCAGACUCCUACGGGAGGCAGCAGUGAGGAAUAUUGGUCAAUGGGCGCGAGCCUGAACCAGCCAAGUCGCGUGAGGGAUGACGGCCCUACGGGUUGUAAACCUCUUUUGUCGGGGAGCAAAUUCCGCCACGUGUGGCGGAGUCGAGAGUACCCGAAGAAAAAGCAUCGGCUAACUCCGUGCCAGCAGCCGCGGUAAUACGUAGGGGGCAAGCGUUAUCCGGAUUUACUGGGUGUAAAGGGAGCGUAGACGGCAGCGCAAGUCUGAAGUGAAAUCCCAUGGCUUAACCAUGGAACUGCUUUGGAAACUGUGCAGCUGGAGUGCAGGAGAGGUAAGCGGAAUUCCUAGUGUAGCGGUGAAAUGCGUAGAUAUUAGGAGGAACACCAGUGGCGAAGGCGGCUUACUGGACUGUAACUGACGUUGAGGCUCGAAAGCGUGGGGAGCAAACAGGAUUAGAUACCCUCGUACGU
This 471-nucleotide ribosomal RNA is filed under the name uncultured bacterium. RNAcentral's name for it is "bacterial SSU rRNA". It matches the Rfam family "Bacterial small subunit ribosomal RNA", at positions 328 to 794 of the family's 1533-position model. The record is from RNAcentral.